GUCGCCUACGGGGCGCAGCAGUGGGGAAUAUUGCGCAAUGGGGGAAACCCUGACGCAGCGACGCCGCGUGCGGGAUGAAGGCUUUCGGGUUGUAAACCGCUUUCAGCAGGGAAGAUAAUGACGGUACCUGCAGAAGAAGCCCCGGCUAACUACGUGCCAGCAGCCGCGGUAAUACGUAGGGGGCAAGCGUUAUCCGGAUUCAUUGGGCGUAAAGCGCGCGCAGGCGGGCCGCUAAGCGGGACCUCUAAUCUUGUGUCUCAA
This 261-nucleotide ribosomal RNA is filed under the name uncultured bacterium. Its description in RNAcentral is "partial 16S ribosomal RNA". It matches the Rfam family "Bacterial small subunit ribosomal RNA", at positions 334 to 612 of the family's 1533-position model. The record is from RNAcentral.